RNAcentral lists this long non-coding RNA (1024 nucleotides) under Neogobius melanostomus (round goby). Its description in RNAcentral is "lncRNA (ENSNMLG00000001359.1)". Lineage: Eukaryota; Metazoa; Chordata; Actinopteri; Gobiiformes; Gobiidae. The record is from RNAcentral.
AGGGUAAAUACUGUUGUUGUGUCAUUUGGCAAGACACUAAUCUUUACAGGUGAUUUUAAUGUGCAUGUGGAUGUGACCAAUGACAGGCAUGCAAAAGAACUUAAUGCUGUUCUUGAAAUGUUUGGUUUAACUCAGCACGUGAGAGGGGCAACCCACAACAAAGGUCACACUCUAGAUCUAGUUAUUACAAAAGGUGUUAAUAUAUCAAAUGUGAAUGUUGUUGAUGUUGCUUUAUCUGAUCAUUUUUGUGUCUUUUUUGACUUGUCUGUUACACCCAAACCAGUGGUUGGGCCUGGAGUUAUUCAAAGAAGACACAUAAAUGAUACAACAGGGACACAGUUUAUGGAAAUGAUCAGAUUUGAAAAUCCUCCAUGUUCAAAUGUUGAUAAUCUGUUGGACUCUUAUACAUCAAGCGUCUUAAAUGUUUUGGAUACUAUUGCUCCUGUCAAGGUUAAAAUGGUUAACAAUAGACAAAAGGCACCUUGGAGAAGUGAAGAUUCGGUCAGGGCGCAGAAAAGGGAGUGCCGAAAAGCCGAAAGGAAAUGGCGCAAGUCAAAGCUCCAGGUUCAUUUUGAGAUAUACAAAGAAGUGCUUUGUGAGUUCAACCAGAUUUUGCGUGGAGAAAGGGAGAAGUACUUCUCUAAAAUCAUCGCAAACUGCAGAAACAAUUCUCGUGUUCUGUUUUCCACAGUAAACAGAUUAACUAACCCUCCAGUUUCACUGCCCUUAGAACUAAUCUCUACAUCUAAGUGCAAUGAGUUUGCAAUAUUUUUUUAUGACAAAGUCCAAGGCAUUAAAAAUGCCAUAAUUUCCACAACACAAAUAGCAACCCUGCCACCAGCUAGACACCUUGAGCUGACACAUUUCACUCCUGUUACUGGCAAAACAAUCGAAGAGGUUAUCUCCGGUCUGAGUUCAUGUACAUGCUGCCUUGAUGAAUUACCCACUAGAUUUCUGAAGUCUGUGCUGACCAGCUUGUUACCACAACUUGUUCAGUUAGUUAACAUCUCAUUUGAGACUGGAG